Molecule: ribosomal RNA, 459 nt
Filed under: uncultured beta proteobacterium
Lineage: Bacteria; Pseudomonadati; Pseudomonadota; Betaproteobacteria
Description: bacterial SSU rRNA
Rfam family: Bacterial small subunit ribosomal RNA
Source: RNAcentral
CCAUAUGGUCGACCUGCAGGCGGCCGCGAAUUCACUAGUGAUUAGAGUUUGAUCCUGGCUCAGAUUGAACGCUGGCGGAAUGCUUUACACAUGCAAGUCGAGCGGCAGCAUGGACUUCGGUCUGAUGGCGAGCGGCGAACGGGUGAGUAACAUAUAGGAACAUACCCAGUAAUGGGGGAUAACGCCGAGAAAUCGGUGCUAAUACCGCAUACGCCCUGAGGGGGAAAGCGGGGGAUCUUCGGACCUCGCGUUAUUGGAAUGGCCUAUAUCUGAUUAGCUAGUUGGUGAGGUAAAGGCUCACCAAGGCUUCGAUCAGUAGCUGGUCUGAGAGGAUGAUCAGCCACACUGGAACUGAGACACGGUCCAGACUCCUACGGGAGGCAGCAGUGGGGAAUUUUGGACAAUGGGCGAAAGCCUGAUCCAGCCAUUCCGCGUGAGUGAAGAAGGCCUUCGGGUUGU